RNAcentral lists this ribosomal RNA (1316 nucleotides) under Escherichia coli. RNAcentral describes it as "partial 23S ribosomal RNA". It matches the Rfam family "Bacterial large subunit ribosomal RNA", at positions 1632 to 2925 of the family's 2925-position model. Lineage: Bacteria; Pseudomonadati; Pseudomonadota; Gammaproteobacteria; Enterobacterales; Enterobacteriaceae. The record is from RNAcentral.
UAACAUCAAAUCGUACCCCAAACCGACACAGGUGGUCAGGUAGAGAAUACCAAGGCGCUUGAGAGAACUCGGGUGAAGGAACUAGGCAAAAUGGUGCCGUAACUUCGGGAGAAGGCACGCUGAUAUGUAGGUGAAGUCCCUCGCGGAUGGAGCUGAAAUCAGUCGAAGAUACCAGCUGGCUGCAACUGUUUAUUAAAAACACAGCACUGUGCAAACACGAAAGUGGACGUAUACGGUGUGACGCCUGCCCGGUGCCGGAAGGUUAAUUGAUGGGGUCAGCGCAAGCGAAGCUCUUGAUCGAAGCCCCGGUAAACGGCGGCCGUAACUAUAACGGUCCUAAGGUAGCGAAAUUCCUUGUCGGGUAAGUUCCGACCUGCACGAAUGGCGUAAUGAUGGCCAGGCUGUCUCCACCCGAGACUCAGUGAAAUUGAACUCGCUGUGAAGAUGCAGUGUACCCGCGGCAAGACGGAAAGACCCCGUGAACCUUUACUAUAGCUUGACACUGAACAUUGAGCCUUGAUGUGUAGGAUAGGUGGGAGGCUUUGAAGUGUGGACGCCAGUCUGCAUGGAGCCGACCUUGAAAUACCACCCUUUAAUGUUUGAUGUUCUAACGUGGACCCGUGAUCCGGGUUGCGGACAGUGUCUGGUGGGUAGUUUGACUGGGGCGGUCUCCUCCUAAAGAGUAACGGAGGAGCACGAAGGUUGGCUAAUCCUGGUCGGACAUCAGGAGGUUAGUGCAAUGGCAUAAGCCAGCUUGACUGCGAGCGUGACGGCGCGAGCAGGUGCGAAAGCAGGUCAUAGUGAUCCGGUGGUUCUGAAUGGAAGGGCCAUCGCUCAACGGAUAAAAGGUACUCCGGGGAUAACAGGCUGAUACCGCCCAAGAGUUCAUAUCGACGGCGGUGUUUGGCACCUCGAUGUCGGCUCAUCACAUCCUGGGGCUGAAGUAGGUCCCAAGGGUAUGGCUGUUCGCCAUUUAAAGUGGUACGCGAGCUGGGUUUAGAACGUCGUGAGACAGUUCGGUCCCUAUCUGCCGUGGGCGCUGGAGAACUGAGGGGGGCUGCUCCUAGUACGAGAGGACCGGAGUGGACGCAUCACUGGUGUUCGGGUUGUCAUGCCAAUGGCACUGCCCGGUAGCUAAAUGCGGAAGAGAUAAGUGCUGAAAGCAUCUAAGCACGAAACUUGCCCCGAGAUGAGUUCUCCCUGACCCUUUAAGGGUCCUGAAGGAACGUUGAAGACGACGACGUUGAUAGGCCGGGUGUGUAAGCGCAGCGAUGCGUUGAGCUAACCGGUACUAAUGAACCGUGAGGCUUAACCUU